UGAGUACGAGAUGCUACGGCAUCGAAGCAGUCUAUGUCAUACUUCCAAGAAAAGCUUGCAAUGUCAUAAACAAAUAAUGCCUGUACCAUAACCGACACAGGUGGGUAGGUAGAGUAUACUAAGGGGCGCGAGAUAACUCUCUCUAAGGAACUCGGCAAAAUGACUCCGUAACUUCGGGAGAAGGAGUGCCUUAUUUUUAUAAGGUUGCAAUAACAAGAUCCAAGCAACUGUUUACCAAAAACACAGGUCUCCGCUAAGUCGUAAGACGAUGUAUGGGGGCUGACGCCUGCCCAGUGCCAGAAGGUUAAAGAAGUUGGUUAGCAUUAGCGAAGCUGAUAACUGAAGCCCUGGUGAACGGCGGCCGUAACAAUAACGGUCCUAAGGUAGCGAAAUUCCUUGUCGGGUAAGUUCCGACCCGCACGAAAGGCGUAAUGAUUUGGAUACUGUCUCGGAGAGGGGCUCGGUGAAAUAGACUUGUCUGUGAAGAUGCGGACUACCUGCACCUGGACAGAAAGACCCUAUGAAGCUUUACUGUAACUUGAGAUUGAAAUUGGACUUUAUCUGCGCAGUAUAGGUGGGAGACGUUGAAAAUAUUCUUGCGGGAAUAUUGGAGUCAUCAGUGAGAUACCACUCUUAUAAUGCUAGAUUUCUAACUUUGUAUCAUUAUCUGGUCAAAGAACAGUUUCAGGCGGGCAGUUUGACUGGGGCGGUCGCCUCCCAAACGGUAACGGAGGCGCACAAAGGUUUCCUCUGAACGUGUAGAAAUCGUAUCUAGAGUGUAAAGGCAUAAGGAAGCUUGACUGUGAGACCUACAAGUCGAGCAGGGACGAAAGUCGGUCUUAGUGAUCUGACGGUGCUGAGUGGAAAGGCCGUCACUCAACGGAUAAAAGUUACUCUAGGAUAACAGGCUGAUCUCCCCCAAGAGUUCACAUCGACGGGGAGGUUUGGCACCUCGAUGUCGGCUCAUCGCAUCCUGGGGCGGUAGUACGUCCCAAGGGUUGGGCUGUUCGCCCAUGAAAGCGGUACGCGAGCUGGGUUCAGAACGUCGUGAGACAGUUCGGUCCAUAUCCGGUGUAGGCGUUAGAAUAUUGAGAGGAGCCUUCUUUAGUACGAGAGGACCGAGAAGGACAUACCUCUGGUGUACCAGUUAUCGUGCCAACGGUAAACGCUGGGUAGCCAUGUAUGGAGAGGAUAACCGCUGAAAGCAUCUAAGUGGGAAGCCCACCUCAAGAUAAG
Molecule: ribosomal RNA, 1236 nt
Filed under: metagenome
Description: bacterial LSU rRNA
Rfam family: Bacterial large subunit ribosomal RNA
Source: RNAcentral